AGUAAUGUGUAAGAACCUAUCCUUGGGAGGAGAACAAUAGUUAAAAACCGUAGGCAGACUGAGGAGCAAAAGGAGGAAUAUGCUAGAGGAGGGACUCGUACUUGAUUAGCUAGUUGGUGAGACAAUAACCUACCAAGGCGAUCAUCAGUAGCUAGUUUGAGAGGAUGAUCAGA
Molecule: non-coding RNA, 173 nt
Organism: Glycine soja
Lineage: Eukaryota; Viridiplantae; Streptophyta; Magnoliopsida; Fabales; Fabaceae
Source: Rfam